CAAGUCGAACGAACCUUCGGGUGAGUGGCGAACGGGGUAGUAACAGGUGGGUACGAACCCAAGAGUCAGGGAUAGCCUAUUGAAAGAUAGGGUAAUACUUGAUAUCCCUACGGGGGAAAGAUUUAUCGCUCUUGGAUCGGCCUGCUCAGUAUCAGCUAGUUGGUGAGAUAAAAGCUCACCAAGGCUAUGACGCUUAGGGGAGGUGAGAGCCUGACCCCCACCAUUGGAACUGAGACACUGUCCAAACUCC
RNAcentral lists this ribosomal RNA (250 nucleotides) under uncultured bacterium. Its description in RNAcentral is "partial 16S ribosomal RNA". It matches the Rfam family "Bacterial small subunit ribosomal RNA", at positions 58 to 339 of the family's 1533-position model. The record is from RNAcentral.